Molecule: ribosomal RNA, 2932 nt
Filed under: Escherichia coli
Lineage: Bacteria; Pseudomonadati; Pseudomonadota; Gammaproteobacteria; Enterobacterales; Enterobacteriaceae
Description: 23S ribosomal RNA
Rfam family: Bacterial large subunit ribosomal RNA
Source: RNAcentral
GGGUUGUGAGGUUAAGCGACUAAGCGUACACGGUGGAUGCCCUGGCAGUCAGAGGCGAUGAAGGACGUGCUAAUCUGCGAUAAGCGUCGGUAAGGUGAUAUGAACCGUUAUAACCGGCGAUUUCCGAAUGGGGAAACCCAGUGUGAUUCGUCACACUAUCAUUAACUGAAUCCAUAGGUUAAUGAGGCGAACCGGGGGAACUGAAACAUCUAAGUACCCCGAGGAAAAGAAAUCAACCGAGAUUCCCCCAGUAGCGGCGAGCGAACGGGGAGCAGCCCAGAGCCUGAAUCAGUGUGUGUGUUAGUGGAAGCGUCUGGAAAGGCGUGCGAUACAGGGUGACAGCCCCGUACACAAAAAUGCACAUACUGUGAGCUCGAUGAGUAGGGCGGGACACGUGGUAUCCUGUCUGAAUAUGGGGGGACCAUCCUCCAAGGCUAAAUACUCCUGACUGACCGAUAGUGAACCAGUACCGUGAGGGAAAGGCGAAAAGAACCCCGGCGAGGGGAGUGAAAAAGAACCUGAAACCGUGUACGUACAAGCAGUGGGAGCACAGAGCAAUCUGUGUGACUGCGUACCUUUUGUAUAAUGGGUCAGCGACUUAUAUUCUGUAGCAAGGUUAACCGAAUAGGGGAGCCGAAGGGAAACCGAGUCUUAACUGGGCGUUAAGUUGCAGGGUAUAGACCCGAAACCCGGUGAUCUAGCCAUGGGCAGGUUGAAGGUUGGGUAACACUAACUGGAGGACCGAACCGACUAAUGUUGAAAAAUUAGCGGAUGACUUGUGGCUGGGGGUGAAAGGCCAAUCAAACCGGGAGAUAGCUGGUUCUCCCCGAAAGCUAUUUAGGUAGCGCCUCGUGAAUUCAUCUCCGGGGGUAGAGCACUGUUUCGGCAAGGGGGUCAUCCCGACUUACCAACCCGAUGCAAACUGCGAAUACCGGAGAAUGUUAUCACGGGAGACACACGGCGGGUGCUAACGUCCGUCGUGAAGAGGGAAACAACCCAGACCGCCAGCUAAGGUCCCAAAGUCAUGGUUAAGUGGGAAACGAUGUGGGAAGGCCCAGACAGCCAGGAUGUUGGCUUAGAAGCAGCCAUCAUUUAAAGAAAGCGUAAUAGCUCACUGGUCGAGUCGGCCUGCGCGGAAGAUGUAACGGGGCUAAACCAUGCACCGAAGCUGCGGCAGCGACGCUUAUGCGUUGUUGGGUAGGGGAGCGUUCUGUAAGCCUGCGAAGGUGUGCUGUGAGGCAUGCUGGAGGUAUCAGAAGUGCGAAUGCUGACAUAAGUAACGAUAAAGCGGGUGAAAAGCCCGCUCGCCGGAAGACCAAGGGUUCCUGUCCAACGUUAAUCGGGGCAGGGUGAGUCGACCCCUAAGGCGAGGCCGAAAGGCGUAGUCGAUGGGAAACAGGUUAAUAUUCCUGUACUUGGUGUUACUGCGAAGGGGGGACGGAGAAGGCUAUGUUGGCCGGGCGACGGUUGUCCCGGUUUAAGCGUGUAGGCUGGUUUUCCAGGCAAAUCCGGAAAAUCAAGGCUGAGGCGUGAUGACGAGGCACUACGGUGCUGAAGCAACAAAUGCCCUGCUUCCAGGAAAAGCCUCUAAGCAUCAGGUAACAUCAAAUCGUACCCCAAACCGACACAGGUGGUCAGGUAGAGAAUACCAAGGCGCUUGAGAGAACUCGGGUGAAGGAACUAGGCAAAAUGGUGCCGUAACUUCGGGAGAAGGCACGCUGAUAUGUAGGUGAAGUCCCUCGCGGAUGGAGCUGAAAUCAGUCGAAGAUACCAGCUGGCUGCAACUGUUUAUUAAAAACACAGCACUGUGCAAACACGAAAGUGGACGUAUACGGUGUGACGCCUGCCCGGUGCCGGAAGGUUAAUUGAUGGGGUCAGCGCAAGCGAAGCUCUUGAUCGAAGCCCCGGUAAACGGCGGCCGUAACUAUAACGGUCCUAAGGUAGCGAAAUUCCUUGUCGGGUAAGUUCCGACCUGCACGAAUGGCGUAAUGAUGGCCAGGCUGUCUCCACCCGAGACUCAGUGAAAUUGAACUCGCUGUGAAGAUGCAGUGUACCCGCGGCAAGACGGAAAGACCCCGUGAACCUUUACUAUAGCUUGACACUGAACAUUGAGCCUUGAUGUGUAGGAUAGGUGGGAGGCUUGGAAGUGUGGACGCCAGUCUGCAUGGAGCCGACCUUGAAAUACCACCCUUUAAUGUUUGAUGUUCUAACGUUGACCCGUAAUCCGGGUUGCGGACAGUGUCUGGUGGGUAGUUUGACUGGGGCGGUCUCCUCCUAAAGAGUAACGGAGGAGCACGAAGGUUGGCUAAUCCUGGUCGGACAUCAGGAGGUUAGUGCAAUGGCAUAAGCCAGCUUGACUGCGAGCGUGACGGCGCGAGCAGGUGCGAAAGCAGGUCAUAGUGAUCCGGUGGUUCUGAAUGGAAGGGCCAUCGCUCAACGGAUAAAAGGUACUCCGGGGAUAACAGGCUGAUACCGCCCAAGAGUUCAUAUCGACGGCGGUGUUUGGCACCUCGAUGUCGGCUCAUCACAUCCUGGGGCUGAAGUAGGUCCCAAGGGUAUGGCUGUUCGCCAUUUAAAGUGGUACGCGAGCUGGGUUUAGAACGUCGUGAGACAGUUCGGUCCCUAUCUGCCGUGGGCGCUGGAGAACUGAGGGGGGCUGCUCCUAGUACGAGAGGACCGGAGUGGACGCAUCACUGGUGUUCGGGUUGUCAUGCCAAUGGCACUGCCCGGUAGCUAAAUGCGGAAGAGAUAAGUGCUGAAAGCAUCUAAGCACGAAACUUGCCCCGAGAUGAGUUCUCCCUGACUCCUUGAGAGUCCUGAAGGAACGUUGAAGACGACGACGUUGAUAGGCCGGGUGUGUAAGCGCAGCGAUGCGUUGAGCUAACCGGUACUAAUGAACCGUGAGGCUUAACCUUACAACGCCGAAGCUGUU